UGAGCGGUGUGGGAGACUCUCUGACCAC
This 28-nucleotide non-coding RNA is filed under the name Rattus norvegicus (Norway rat). The record is from RNAcentral. Lineage: Eukaryota; Metazoa; Chordata; Mammalia; Rodentia; Muridae.